Mya arenaria is the source of this 4550-nucleotide long non-coding RNA. RefSeq lists it as uncharacterized. Lineage: Eukaryota; Metazoa; Mollusca; Bivalvia; Myida; Myidae. The record is from RefSeq and is a predicted model, not a curated record. The transcript has 8 exons.
CGCCAUGAUUAGUUGUGUCAUACACUUGGAUUACAACUGUUUGUGUACAAUUUUGAAUGGAUUAUUUAUCAUAACCAUGACAGUUACAACAUACGGAGGGAAAUAACUCCACUGAUGUCAUAUCAGUGGUGAGUGCAGACGGCAACUGGAGAAAAGGACGAGCAAGUUUACUCCAUCUCCUCGUGUCAUAACAGCAGUGAACGGCAACUGGAGGAAAGGAAAACGAAGCUAUCCUCGUCGCAUCAUGUCAAAAUAUCAGUGAACGCAGACGACAGCUGGAGAAAAGGAUAAAAAAUUUUUCUCCAUCUCCUCGUGUCAUAACAGCAGUGAACGGCAACUGGAGGAAAAGAAAAAGAAGACAAUGUCCGACUACAUUCACCCAAACCAUGGCUAUCCGAGUAUUGUCGAGACAGAUAAUGUGCCAAGUAUUCUGCAAAACAGCCAGGAAGAGACUAUAGGAGGGCAACACGCAUCAGUAACGACAUAUACAGAAUUUGAACGCCCUACAGAAAGGCAAGAUGUUACUGAUGAGGGUAACGAAAAUAGUGAACUUUCAAAUGAAAUAGUUGUGAAUGUAAACGGCAGGGAAUGUCAACAGGAGAGUAGUCAAGAUGGAACAACCGAAGCACUUGUUAUAAGUGGAUCGUUAACGGAGCAUCGGCGUGAAAGGACUGCUCAACGAAACCCGGUGGUUGCGCUUCCUGCACUAGUUAUAAGUGGAUCGUUAACGGAGCAUCGGCGUGAAAGGAUUGCUCAACGAAACCCGGUGGUUGCGCUUCCUGCACUAGCUACGGUUACGUCUAACGCCGAUGUGGGUUUUGGGAAAUAUGCAGACUACAGAAGACGCCUGAAGUCUUUCAAAGGCUAUGCGAAAAAGUGGCCACACCGGAAUCCUUCCGCGAAAGACAUGGCACGAGCAAACUUUAUUUUUAGAGGUUCUGAUCGUCAUCCCGAUGCGGUUCAGUGUUACUUAUGUGGAAAUACUUUCCAUACAAUACAAGAAACGGAUGUUCCGGACAAUCUUUGCAACUGUAACUUGUGAUUAAAUCGAGAAGGACAGAUGAAGCUGGAUUUGAGGUCGACAAAAAAGUUUAAAAAGAACUGUUCAACUCUAAAUACGAGAGGGUUUUGUGUUUAAAUAUUUAUUGAUUUGCUAAUAUCAUGUCAAUGAACUUUAAUUAUUCUGACUUUCAAUGUUAUAUUGAUUUGAUAAUUUGCUGAAAUGUUAUAUAUUUGAAGCACAUGAUAAUUUAUAUUAAAAAUAGAGUGGAUUGCGUAUUCUCUGUACUGUGCAAUCUUCCUUCGAAUAGUAACACAGUUAUAUCAUCUAAUAUCAUCAAAUUCAUUUCAAUAACUGGGACCGUAUAAUCAAGAACCCUCAGGGACGAACCUGUACAUAAGAUCUAUGUUCAACAGUGUAAACAAAAUUAAACAAGGUUGAACAUUUUCUGAUCAAUGCCUACCAAGGUAUGGUUCCGGACGGAUGGACGGACAGAAGGACAGACAGAAGGACGGACAGAAGGACGGACGGACGGAAUGACGGACGGAUGGACAACGCCAAAACAAUAUCCACCUCCCGAAACCUUCCUUUCGGCAGGGGAUAAAACAACUAAAUGUUAUUAUAUAUUUACAAAAGGCUCCAAGCGACGCAAUGUUUUAAGGGCCGGUUACAAUGCAAACGUCGUUUUAAGGACCAAAAUUAAAAAAAAAGUUUAAAAUAAUCAUUUUUUAAUAUUUUUUAGGUUCAAUAUUUAGCAAGUAUAAUUCAUAUAUCCGUUGCAACAUGUAAAGCUGUAGUAAGAAGUUGAGCAAUUAUUACGAAAUAAUAUUUUAUCAGAUUACAAAUCAAAAAGCAUUUGCGUUUUCCCGGAAAUGCCCAUAUGCAAAAUGAAUAUGUUUACGAGUCAAAUUUACCAGUACUACCUAAUCAACACUGUCUUGAGGUUUUGUGGUGAUUGCACAAUUUAAAAAAUCAGAUAUUCGCAUUUAUGUAUCCAGGAAAUGAAUUCCAUCCACUAUUUAUUAUUAUUUUUUGAAUAACUUUCUUAUUUGAAAAGAUAUCAUCAAGAACUCUCAGAACAUUGUUCGGCAUUUUGACACAAAAACAAAGUAAAAAUGUCAACAGACCUUUCCGAAAGAAUGUGAAUGCUUUUUUAUCCAAAAUCUUAUAAAAUCUUCUUUAGUAAAAUGUGUUUAACUACUUGCUACCCUAAUACAUGUCACUAAGAAUGUUUGUUUUACUCUCAAAAAAGAUCUUUCAUCAAAACUUGAUAAAACAUGAACUUUUAAAACGUUUAAAAUUUUGACCUUCCCCAUCCACUUUUGCACUGUGGAAGGCCCUUAAAUCCAUUAAUGUUUAAACUCAUGUAGGCUGAUGUCAGUGACUUAGUGCUUAGUUCAGGAUAAAAGGUUCAUGUACCAUGUUUUGCAUUUGGGGUUCGUAGAAGCCUCAGGCAACAGCCACUAUUGCCUAUAUAAAAUGAUGUCAGCUGAAAGACUUCAGGAAGUAAGGAUCUACAGAUAAAAAUCUCAUAUUAUGCCAAAAUUGAAAGCAUAGUUUUGUCGUUUUGUUGCGAUUUUCUUACCCUUUGCCAUUAAAAGAGCGCUUACCCUAAAGCAGCUCUUCUGAAAUUCAUUCAUUCAUGUCAUAUUUUUCAAAUGUUUAAAAAUUCAAUUGAACAUAUAGGUAUUUUUCAUGAUUUAGCCUUUUUGACCAUGUUGUGGAUAAUGCGUGUUUUAUAAGUAUUGUUUUAUGACUUAUGUAUGUGGGAUCAUAUUUCGAGAUGCAUCAAUAUCAUAUAUGAAGACCAAACUUAAUCAAAUUAUUAUGAUAGUACGUUUUGUAUUGAUGAUAUUUGAGCAUCAUAAGUCAAGAUACUCUCUUGGAUACAGAUUUUGACUUGCUUUUGAUAUAUUUCUUUUUAAAAAAGCAUUCUGUCUGUCAUCUCUGAAAAAAUAAGAUUUGACUUGUGUAUUGAUUGUUGUUGACUUGAUCAACACAACAUACUUACUAAGUGUUUUAAUAUUAUUUUUUAUUAUUAUAUUAAACCAUUUGUGAAUAUACGUUCUGUUUAUGCUUUGUUUGAUUUUAGUAUCACAUUGCACUUGUGACAAUACACAUGUAUUGCAUUACAAAUAAAGUUUUAAUAGGUUUAAUGUUUUAGUAUACACAUGUAGCUAAUUGUAAAGGAUGUGAUUUUGAAUUUGAUGUUUUAUUUAGAAAUAAUAGUUUGUUUGUAUCGAGCCCGUUCAAUGCAGAAACAUGGGAACGGGUCUCGUAUCUUCUCGGUUAUGUUUUACACUGAUCAAAAAUUAUUAGUGUGCAGACACAGCCCCUAAGAAAGUUGAUGAAACGGUCAAUGCUGUUGAAAUGAAUUGAUUGUAUCAAAUAUGAUUUUGUUUUAUUAAAUAGAAGAUUGUACAGUACAGUGAAUACCAAAUCCACUCUUUUAUUUGUGUUGUAAAAUAUCAUGUGCUACAGAUAUAUAACUUUCAUUAUCUUAUGAGAUCUGUACAUAUUUUUAUAAUACAAAACAAAACUGUGUAGUUGUUAUUUUAGAAUUUAAGGUUUAAAUACAUGAUGUGUUUAUCUUGUUUUCGAACGUGCUAUUUAGUUCAUAUUGAAUUAUGUACGAGUGCACUUCCAUGAAGUGUUUGUAAAAAAAUACUUUUAAUAACUUGAUGAUUGUAUCCAUUUAUAAAACGCUUAAAAUAAGGUACUUUCAAAAAAUCAGAUUAAAAGUUGACGUCGUCAGCAAAGUUAAGUCAUGAGGAGAAAAAGGUGACGUUUUCAUUUUGCCAGGUUUUCAUGCCUCGUAAGCCGGCAAUUAAGGCUACUUUUACAUUUUAAGGUUUUUAAUUUAACUGUAUGCACAACUAAACUUUUGUUCCGUAAUCCUAUUUCUUGGUUGUCAUUUUUGUUUAUUAAAGUCAAUACCACAAAUUUCAUUUUGCGAGAUAUCAUGCCUCAUAAGCAAUCAAUCAUAGCUUCUUUUGCAUGUUCUCGAACCGGUUUUAUAAUUUAAUACUAUGCAUAAUUAUACGUUUGGUAUGUUAUCAUAUCUCUUGCUUAGAAUUUGCUUUUCGUUUAAUAAUACUAACUUGUAUGUCUUAUCGUUUCUCAUCUUCGCAGAAUAUGUUACAUAUGCUAAUGCCAUGUGUUGUGAUAACUCAAUGCAUCUGUUUAACUCGUUGUGAGUUAAUAGAGGACUUUUUUCAUAACCAAUUUUGUUGUUUCACUAAGUUGUCAGCAUAUAAUAUUACUACUACACUUCAUGUGCAAAUCUUAGUAUGAUAUUGAAAAUGAAUAUAAGGUAUGACAGUAUUUAAUGGACAUUUUUUCUGUCUAUUUUAGUAUUGAAUUUCUUAGACGCUGAAAUAUGUUUUGUAUACUUUGCUUUUUAGAAAAUACCAUUGUUACUAUGUAAAAGAGAAAUAUUUUAAAUCAAAGUUGUUUUAUGAUACGAAGUUAUUUAUUGUUCAUGUGAGUUAAAUGUGAUGAUAGUAAAAUUUAGUCAUUGGUUUGGAUAUUAUACAGCUUAAAUUACUAA